CCCUUAGAUGUUCUGGGCCGCACGCGUGCUACACUGAACGGUUCAAUGGGUAAGGUAGUGCGAAAGCAUGACCUAAUCUCGAAAUCCGUUCGUGCUGGGGAUAGAAGCUUGCAAUUAUCCUUCUUGAACGAGGAAUACCUUGUAAGCGUGAGUCAUCAUCUCACGCUGAAUACGUCCCUGCCCUUUGUACACACCGCCCGUCGCUCCUACCGAUUGAGUGUUCCGGUGAGGCCUUGGGAGAAUGGCCUCAACAUGAGUUUAUCGUGUUUUGCCGUUUGAACUUAGUCAAACCUUAUCACUUAGAGGAAGGAGAAGUCGUAACA
RNAcentral lists this ribosomal RNA (323 nucleotides) under uncultured eukaryote. RNAcentral describes it as "partial 18S ribosomal RNA". It matches the Rfam family "Eukaryotic small subunit ribosomal RNA", at positions 1470 to 1796 of the family's 1831-position model. The record is from RNAcentral.